AAGUGGAAACACUGAUUUCUUCGCUAUAAAAGAAUGGCGGAUUUUUUCAAAUGUGUUUUUUUAUUUGAUUACAAGAUUAGAAGUCAAGAAUAAUCAGAACUGAAGAUGUCCGGAAUCGACAAAAAGAGCAAGUCCUAUUGAAGAGUCGCCGCAAAGACCACCAUUUUAUGAAUACCCAUCAGUGAGUGGAAACUGCAGUAAGACAGAUUUCACCUGCUGUCAGCCUGAUGAGAAUUCUAAAGAUAAUAUAGACGUAACUGAAAAUGAUAAGCAGAUCUCAUCAACAAAAAAAUUAAAUUAGAAAAUGUGGAAAUUGAGCAAUCCACACAGCCGUCUAAAGUAUGUAUCAAGGAAAAUCUUGGAUCCGUAAAGACUGAAAUAAGGUUACGGCGUUCGUCCAGAAUUAAGAAAAAGAAUGGGAGUGGAGAGGGGACAAGGGAGGUCCGCAGGAGCGCGAGAUUAAUGAAGAAGUAAAGCAGCCGCCGUGGGGAGGGAACAGGUGAAAAAAGUCAACAGGAAAAUCUUGGAUCAGUCAAUGUAUGUCCAAGCAAAGAUUAUUCGUUUAACACAAUUUUCCCAACUUAGAAUUGGAGAGAAAAAUGGAGGCGGCAAUGAGACAAGGGAGAUCCGUCGGAGUGCACGGUAUGGCAAUUUAUGUGGAGAGGUACAUGUCCUUUGUCGUAGCCAGAUUUUGAUCCGCAGGAGCGCGAGAUACGCAAUUCAUAGAUGAUUCAAGAUUAUGGACUGUAGGCUGGUGUUUCUCUCUGUCAAUGUAGCCAUCACCAGAUAAUCAAUUUAGUGCAACUGACCCACAUAAUGGGAACAUGGAGAUUGAGCAGUCUACGGUACUCGCACAACAAGGUUUAUAUAUCAAGAGGAAGAGAACAAGAAGAAGAGACGCGAGUCCAAGUAAUAAUUGCUCCAGUUUCCAGCCGGAAAUACAAAGAUCUGAGCUUUCUGAUCACGCACAUAAUUCAACCACCCAGGCCGGCAGAUCCCGUUCAUUUCCACAAAAACGAUGCGAAGAAUUUCCGAAAAGAGAUGGAACACUCGAGCCUAUUUAAAAACACUUGUAUGCAUCUUGAAAGCAAGCAUUCCCUGCAUGUGAAAGAUGAAAAUAUGAAGUUCACUCGUGGAAAAUAUGGCAACAAAUUAAACGGGCAUUUUCUUGUUCUGGGGCCUCUAGGAAAUAGAAGCGAGGUCGUUUCCAGACUUCUUUGUCCCAAUUUUCAUAGUUCCUAGUCAUUUCCAUCUCAUUUUCUGUUGAAUCUUGAUCGUCAGCUAGACUCUGAUGAUAGAGUUCUAUCAUAGUGUAAGUGUGUGCGUGCUCAUUAAAGAAUCUCUUUCAAAUGUUUUGUUUGUUCUUUGUCAACUAAUGUC
Dendronephthya gigantea is the source of this 1380-nucleotide RNA transcript. RefSeq lists it as uncharacterized. Lineage: Eukaryota; Metazoa; Cnidaria; Anthozoa; Malacalcyonacea; Nephtheidae. The transcript has 13 exons. The record is from RefSeq and is a predicted model, not a curated record.